This 488-nucleotide ribosomal RNA is filed under the name uncultured bacterium. RNAcentral's name for it is "bacterial SSU rRNA". It matches the Rfam family "Bacterial small subunit ribosomal RNA", at positions 8 to 507 of the family's 1533-position model. The record is from RNAcentral.
AGAGUUUGAUCCUGGCUCAGGAUGAACGCUGGCGGCGUGCCUAAUACAUGGCAAGUCGAGCGAACCACUUCGGUGGUGAGCGGCGAACGGGUGAGUAACACGUAGGUGAUCUGCCCAUCAGACGGGGACAACGAUUGGAAACGAUCGCUAAUACCGGAUAGGACGAAAGUUUAAAGGUGCUUCUGGCACCGCUGAUGGAUGAGCCUGCGGCGCAUUAGCUAGUUGGUAGGGUAAAGGGCCUACCAAGGCGACGAUGCGUAGCCGACCUGAGAGGGUGAACGGCCACACUGGGACUGAGACACGGCCCAGACUCCUACGGGAGGCAGCAGUAGGGAAUCUUCGGCAAUGGGCGAAAGCCUGACCGAGCAACGCCGCGUGAAUGAUGAAGGCUUCGGGUUGUAAAAUUCUGUUAUAAGGGAAGAACGACUUUAGUAGGAAAUGGCUAGAGUGUGACGGUACCUUAUGAGAAAGCCACGGCUAACUACGUG